RNAcentral lists this ribosomal RNA (422 nucleotides) under Microvirga ossetica. Its description in RNAcentral is "partial 16S ribosomal RNA". It matches the Rfam family "Bacterial small subunit ribosomal RNA", at positions 355 to 774 of the family's 1533-position model. The record is from RNAcentral. Lineage: Bacteria; Pseudomonadati; Pseudomonadota; Alphaproteobacteria; Hyphomicrobiales; Methylobacteriaceae. RNAcentral also lists the same sequence under 1 other name.
UGAGGAAUAUUGGUCAAUGGGUGCAAGCCUGAACCAGCCAUCCCGCGUGAAGGACGACUGCCCUAUGGGUUGUAAACUUCUUUUGUAUAGGGAUAAACCUACCCUCGUGAGGGUAGCUGAAGGUACUAUACGAAUAAGCACCGGCUAACUCCGUGCCAGCAGCCGCGGUAAUACGGAGGGUGCAAGCGUUAUCCGGAUUUAUUGGGUUUAAAGGGUCCGUAGGCGGACUUAUAGGUCAGUGGUGAAAGCCUGUCGCUUAACGAUAGAACUGCCAUUGAUACUGUAAGUCUUGAGUAUAUUUGAGGUAGCUGGAAUAAGUAGUGUAGCGGUGAAAUGCAUAGAUAUUACUUAGAACACCAAUUGCGAAGGCAGGUUACCAAGAUAUAACUGACGCUGAGGGACGAAAGCGUGGGGAGCGAACA